GCAUAGUGGACCCAACCACGGCUCUGCUGAACACCAAUAGCACGCCAUUCAUUUUCAGAGAGAAGCCGAUUCUUUGGAAGAAGCUUUGCCACUUCAGGAGGGAGCACCACAUGCCUGUACUCAUAAGUGUCAUCGAAAUACUUCUCGGAGUACUGGAUCUGACCCAUCUUCCACUCUACUAGGGAUUUUAGUCUCAAUCAAAUUCCACUUUCAAGUCGGUUGUCCAGUUUUCUUCAAGACUUAUAAUUGAUCUCGCAAUAUCAAAGAAGAAACAGGAUUCAAUGAAAUCACAAGUGCACACAUCAGUAAGGGAAGAAUCGCAAAGGGAAUUUC
This 333-nucleotide unclassified non-coding RNA is filed under the name Hevea brasiliensis (rubber tree). Lineage: Eukaryota; Viridiplantae; Streptophyta; Magnoliopsida; Malpighiales; Euphorbiaceae. The record is from RNAcentral.